RNAcentral lists this ribosomal RNA (253 nucleotides) under uncultured bacterium. Its description in RNAcentral is "partial 16S ribosomal RNA". It matches the Rfam family "Bacterial small subunit ribosomal RNA", at positions 524 to 776 of the family's 1533-position model. The record is from RNAcentral.
UACGUAGGGGGCAAGCGUUGUCCGGAAUUAUUGGGCGUAAAGCGCGCGCAGGCGGCCUUUUAAGUCUGAUGUGAAAGUCUACGGCUUAACCGUAGAAGGCCAUUGGAAACUGGAGGGCUUGAGUGCAGAAGAGGAGAGUGGAAUUCCAUGUGUAGCGGUGAAAUGCGUAGAGAUAUGGAGGAACACCAGUGGCGAAGGCGACUCUCUGGUCUGCAACUGACGCUGAGGCGCGAAAGCGUGGGUAGCGAACAGG